This 301-nucleotide ribosomal RNA is filed under the name uncultured bacterium. Its description in RNAcentral is "partial 16S ribosomal RNA". It matches the Rfam family "Bacterial small subunit ribosomal RNA", at positions 509 to 807 of the family's 1533-position model. The record is from RNAcentral.
CAGUAGCCGCGGGAAUACGUAGGGUGCGAGCGUUAAUCGGAAUUACUGGGCGUAAAGCGUGCGCAGGCGGUUAUAUAAGACAGAUGUGAAAUCCCCGGGCUCAACCUGGGACCUGCAUUUGUGACUGUAUAGCUAGAGUACGGUAGAGGGGGAUGGAAUUCCGCGUGUAGCAGUGAAAUGCGUAGAUAUGCGGAGGAACACCGAUGGCGAAGGCAAUCCCCUGGACCUGUACUGACGCUCAUGCACGAAAGCGUGGGGAGUAAACAGGAUUAGAUACCCCGGUAGUCCCUGUCUCUUAUAC